UCUUCACUCUCUCGGUUCUCUCUUUCUCCCUCUCCCUCUCUCGGCUUUCUCCCUCUCCCUCUCCCUCUCCUCACCGAGCAGCUGCACCUCACCACCGUCCCUGGGAAUCGCGAGACCCCUACCACCACCUCGAGCACACCGAGCCUCCUCCUGCCGCCAAGGAGCCACAACGAAGAGGAAGCUCCUUUCAAGCGUUCCCGACGGUUUUGGACUCCGAUCUAGGUGAUCGUUAAAUCGAGGAAAGGAAUUAUCAUCGGGAAUUGUGGAAUUACGCUCGAGUCUAUAAGGGGAUAAUUCUGCAGGUGCUGAUUAGUGGGGGUUGAGUGACGACUACAGAGGCUUGAAGUCGUUCUUAUCCUACUUGUGGUGAGGUUUUAGCGUGGGUUUGUGUGUGAGAAGUUGUGUAAUUUCAUUUGUGAGAUUUGUGAGUGAUUUGUGAGGAUUAUUACAUUUCCAUUUUAUGUAUGGAUUAUAAAUUUGGGUUGUAAUAAUUGGUUGACUGAGUUGUAUUGAGAAC
This is a long non-coding RNA of Argentina anserina (silverweed cinquefoil), 517 nucleotides long. RefSeq lists it as uncharacterized. NCBI's taxonomy places the organism in Eukaryota, Viridiplantae, Streptophyta, Magnoliopsida, Rosales, Rosaceae. The record is from RefSeq and is a predicted model, not a curated record. The transcript has 3 exons.